This 506-nucleotide ribosomal RNA is filed under the name uncultured bacterium. RNAcentral's name for it is "partial 16S ribosomal RNA". It matches the Rfam family "Bacterial small subunit ribosomal RNA", at positions 30 to 523 of the family's 1533-position model. The record is from RNAcentral.
AUUGAACGCUGGCGGCAGGCUUAACACAUGCAAGUCGAGCGGUAACAGAGAGAAGCUUGCUUCUCUGCUGACGAGCGGCGGACGGGCGAGUAAUGCCUAGGAAUCUGCCUAGUAGUGGGGGAUAACUGGCCGAAAGGUAAGCUAAUACCGCAUACGUCCUACGGGAGAAAGGAGGGGACCUUCGGGCCCUUCGCUAUUUGAUGAGCCUAGGUCGGAUUAGUUAGUUGGUGAGGUAAUGGCUCACCAAGACCGCGAUCCGUAACUGGUCUGAGAGGAUGAUCAGUCACACUGGAACUGAGACACGGUCCAGACUCCUACGGGAGGCAGCAGUGGGGAAUAUUGGACAAUGGGGGGAACCCUGAUCCAGCCAUGCCGCGUGUGUGAAGAAGGUCUUAGGAUUGUAAAGCACUUUAAGUUGGGAGGAAGAGCAGUUAACUAAUAUUUGACUGUUUUGACGUUACCGACAGAAUAAGCACCGGCUAACUUCGUGCCAGCCGCCGCCGUAA